AUUUUUGGCAGAUUUGGCAACCAGUUGCCAAAGCAAGGCACUAAAAGACUCUAGCUUGGUCCUCUGGCAGCCAAUGGAGCUGGCAAGCGAUUGUAAUUUAUUAAGGCUGUCGGCUUUAACAUAGUAAAUGCGACUUAUGAGGUGAUCAUCAUCAGAAUCGGAGUCUUUGGGAGGUUGCAGUUUGGAGAUGGGGACGUACAUAUCGUCUAGGGAGGGGUGGAUACAAGCAGGACGUCUAGGAUUUAGAAGAGAUCGCCUGAAUGAUGGCACCACUGAAUCAGAUAUUGCUUUAGAUUGAGCCAUCUCUGCCCAGGACACCACAAACAUGUUGGCUGAGUAGGCAUCUGCUAUCCUAUGGUCAAAUGUGCACCCCAAUACUAUUCCGCCGCAUUUUAAUUUUGUUGCCUGCAUAAUUUUUUUUUUUUUUAAGGAAAUAUACAUGUGGUGCUAAUAUAUUAGAAAUCUCGAAUAUGACUUGGGGAAAUUAAUUGGUAUAUUAGUAUUAUUUUGCUUACUGCAUAUGAAAUAUAAUUGUUAGAAUAUUAUAAUAAAUUAUUUUAAUACAAUUAGCUAGAUAAUUGAUACACAAAAAUAUCAAUUAAAUAAAAUUUAAUAAUUACAAAAAGAUUAAUUUUAGUUUUUUUUUUUUAUCACUAGACUAAUUGCAUUAAAGAUUAAUACCUUAACAAUUAGUAUAUACGGGCGAGUGAACGUGGAAGUAAGCUCCAUCAUUCGAUUUUAUCUUUAGUUUAAUUUAAAUAACUUAAAUAUUAUGUAAUUAUAAACUUAUAAGAAAAUUAUAAAUUAAAAUCCAAUUUUUGAAAUUGUUAUGCUUGGUGAGAAAAUUUAAGAAAUAGAGGUUUCGUGGGACUAAAAUGAAGGAUGAGAUUGGAAAAUAUGAGAAAAUACUCGUUCGAGAUGGGUUUUCUGAUAGUGAAAACGGGUCAAAAUGUUGUCGGCCACUAAAUAUUUGUUUUUAUUCGGACCCAACCAAAGGCAAAAAUUAUAAAACAUCAAUUCAUAUAUCACACGUGUCAGUUGGGCGGACUGCAAUCGAAUGCAUAUCAUACAUAUGAGAACAAAUACAGGAAGGACAUUAACAUGACUGAAAAAAUUUGGCAUAUUUCUGAUCUUAUGUAUAAUUUAUUUGAAAGAUUUUAAAAGAAAGAUUGGAAAGUUAAAUUUUAUAAUAGAUGUUCUGUUGCUGGUUUACGUGUGAAAUGUGAAAUUUGUUACUGUACACUCCAUUUUUGGCUUCUCCCUUGGGAAUAUAUAAGAAGAAAACUAACGCGUGAGAGAGUCACUAACCUGGACAGCAAGCACACCGUCCUCCUUCUUGGGCACGAGUUUGGCUUCAAUGCUCUGGUCGGGGUUAUACAAGUUGAGGUGUUGAAGCUCAAUAUCUGCAAAAGCCUCAUAAAAGUCCACACCACGGUUGCUGCAUAGGAUCUCAGGCUCUCCCGCUGAGUUCGCCACAACUUCACCAGCGAAAGCGUAGUAGGAAACCAGAACUUGAGCCAAAGCUUUCUUAAGAGAACCAACCAUGGACCCAAAAUUCAUGCUUAUUAAUGGGUUUCUAUAACAAAAGAAAACACCCACAUCAACUGGAGGGAGAAGCAAGUCUAGGUUGGAGAGUGGCAGCCAAUGUUCUUGCAAUGGCAGCACUGCUGCCACCACUUCCUUCUUGGCCACCGAUACAGUGAACGUCCUCUCCCCUCCUUCAGAACCCAUAUAUAUUAUGGUGUUAUGUUUCUCUAGCUAUAUAUUGUUCAAUCACCAGCUGGUGGUUUGGGUCCUCUGGGAUGGCGGAUGCGUGUGAUUUUAUAGGCAAACAGGCUAGUCAACUCCUUCCCCCAUAACCUUUUUUUUUUUUUUUUCAUUUAAAGCAUUUCUUUAUUUAUUUAUUUUUUAAUGUUACUUGCGAUGCAACCUGAAGCUUAAUACUAGUCAAACCCGCAGGCGAUGUCAAAAAACAUGAAUAGCCAAGCCAAGCCAAGCCAAGCCAAGCCAAGGGAUAAAUCUAUUCCAUAUUUUAUUAUAAUACAUAUAUAUGGUGUCUUGAGCGGGGUUGGUGGUUCGCCUCUUGUUCCCUUCUCUCCCAAAUUCAUUCAUUUGACUUUGUUUUUAAAUAAAAAAUGCCUGACAAAUUAACAUUUUUUUUUAAUAGCAAGAGUUACCUUGCGCUUUCCUCAAAAACAAAAAAAAAAAAAAAAAAACACACAUUACACGAGUAUAUAUAAUAUACAUCUAAUACAUUUAAUAAUGAUAUUUGGACAAAGUUUUGUGUAUUUUUUUCUCAAUGGAAAAAACAAGAAUAGAAGUGAGUUUUAUAAAAUUACAAUCAAUUAUUAGUUGAAUGCACAAAGAAUAAAUAUACACCCGCUGUAGACAAUUCCCCUGUUAAAUUAAGCUAAGACUCGAAAUUCUGGUAUUAGCAUUCUCUUGUUAAAUUAAGCUAGUUAAAGAUCCAAAAUGCAGCUAAAAUUGCUAUGACUGUUCUACAAUCAGUUAUUUGUACAAGUUUUAAGUAUCAUUUGAUGUAAACCAUACGAAGAUGAAUGGACAAGAAAAAAAGAUUUAAAAUGAAAUAAAUAUGGAUAAAACGGCAAUUUUUGGAACUUAUUAUUCUUUCAAAUCAAUACAUAGGUAGUGUAGGCAUCAGUUCUACAGUGAGUUGAUACGAGCAUAUAAUUGAAUGCAUCUCUUCUAAAAAAAAAAAAAAAACUAAGUCCAACCUAAUCCAGAUGGUACAACAAGCAAAACAAACUCCGUGAGUGAGUGAUUAACUUCUGUUUUGUGGUUAGUGGAAUGGAAUCCUCUGUUGAAAUGUGGAGAAUCCCACACCACAUCUGCCGAGAAAGAAAAAGUGAGAAGGCAUGGUAAAGUUCAAUCCAUUUGGGUGUUGAAGUCCAGGUGCAAUAUCAGCCCGAUUUCCUGGCCCAAAGCAGGUCAGUUCUGUUUGGUGCUCUACAUAAUCAACAACGUAUUCAAGAAACUUCUGGCAAAGAACAUUAUUUUCCAUCUAAUAAUGUCAAAUUAGUUGCACCAUAGCCAACUAGUAUAUAUUUAUUACUCUGUCAAUAUUUAACAUAUCAACUACUCCACGACACAUAAGCCAAACCCCUUGCCCUAAUCCAUGGUUUUAGCCUGUGUUCUAGCAGAUAUGGCAAUAUGAUAUGGAUGUAGUCAUAGUCGAAAAUUAUUUUCCCACUCUGAAAGAUGAAGAUUAUGAUACCUGAAAUGAAUGUUUCUUUGCUAUAAAGAAAUUAAUAAUUUCAAAUGGGUAGUGUGAUGAACCUUUUCCAGAAAUAUUAUCGCUGGAGUAGUUGGCAGUUAAUAUGUGGUGUUUUGGGUCAGCAUGCAGUGAAGUCAAUUGCACUUUUGGAUGACAAAGCAUCUGUGAAGAUGGUCUCCAAACCUGCUCAACCUGUAGAGUUCAAGAAGAUUCCAAAAGGAUUACCAACUAAGGGCCUCUGGGAUUACCCUAAUCAACUUUCAGAGGAGAUGGUAAGAUGUAUGAAGAAUAUAUUCAUGACUCUGGCAGAUUCUGCUAUACCAUCAAAGUCAUCUGCACUGGAAAGCCAAUCCUCACCUGUAUCUCCUCGAGGACAUUUUUCCAAUUCAUCAUGGUGGUCAUUGUCUGAGCACUCGAAGAUUUCAUCAUGGGUGCAGAGCCCCCAAGUUGAUAUACAGUCCAACUCUGAAGUGUUGGCUUCAGAGAAUGUCUUUGAUCCCUACAGAGUGCAUGGGAAGUUGAGCUGGGCAGACAUAGGAAACUAUGGGUUAGCUACUGAAGUUUCUUGGAUCUCAGUUGGGAAGAAGCAAUUAGAAUAUGCCUCAGGGGCAUUAAGGAGUUUCAGGUAUAAUAUUUUGUUUACCCUGAUAGUUUAGAUCUGUGUCAUUUAUUUCUUAAGCAAUUUAAAGUUUUUGAGGAUCUAAAAAGCUAAGAAUUAUUACUACAGAAUAAAUAAUGAAAAACAUUUUGUAAGUAGCUCUGAUCUAGGAAUUUAUCUGCAAUCUUUCUGUCAGGCAGCUUUUCUUUCAGUUCAUGUUCAUGUACUCUUUUUGGUUGCAAGUUGACUUACCUUUCGCUGGCUUCCAGGACAUGAGGAUACAAUUUGGUCACAACAUUCUUUUUUCACAUCUUGUGCAUUAUUAUUAUUCCAGUUCAUGAUAUCCAGUCUUUUCUUUCUAUGAAUGUCACUUUAUCUAGCAAGUGAAGAAAAAGUUUGAUGAGUAAUUAUAUAACUGUUUAAUAAUUAGAAGAUAUUGUGGAAGGUCCAAAAAAUUCCAUGUUUAAUUCGUUUCCUGCAUAUUGUUUUACUUUACUGAUUUUUUCACCUGAAAUUUCUUGCUGAAUGCUUUGUUUAAUUUAAACUAUGAGGUUGGGCAGGACAUACAUUUUCUAACUUUUGUGUGUCUAUCUUUUUUUGUUUCCCCUGUUGUGGGUUGGGGGGGAGAGAUCGAACAGUUAUAAUAAAUUGAGUACUUUGAUAAACAUAUGCUCUUGUUACUUUUUAUUAACUUAUGAUCAGGUUAAUCGAUUGAUUGAGGUGUUGUCUGGCAUUAGAUAUGACAAAUCUUUUGGUUAUACUUUUUGGACUUUGGAGAACAGGAUUCUUGUCGAGCAGCUGGCCAAAGUGAAUCCUAUCCACUUGACAUGCGAUGAGAAGCUUGCUUUCUGGAUGAACUUGUACAAUGCUCUUAUUAUGCAUGUAGAUCUCUUUGCUUAAGUUAAAACCUAGUUUUCUUCUACAGCUGAUGAAAUUAGGAUUCCAUUUGUCAACAUACUAAAAAUAUUUCAUGAUUCUUUAUUCUCUAAUUGGUUGGCAGGCAUACUUGGCAUAUGGAGUUCCAAGAAGCGACUUGAAGCUCUUUUCCUUGAUGCAAAAGGUUUGAUUUGUAACUGAACAUUUCCAAUCAUUUUGUUUCCACUCUGUUUUAUUAUUUAUGAUCAUAAGUCAUCAUGGUAUCUGAGUCAGCUUCUAUGUAAGCCUGCAAUAUUCAGUUCAUUAUAUCAAGACUAGAAUAGAUAUUAAGUUAAAUAAUUUUCCUCACUUAAAAUAGAGAGGAUGUUUACAUCUUUAUGAACUUUGCAUUCCUGAGUUUCUUUUGUCAAUAAAUAGAUUUCCAAAAUCUUGACUUGACCCUUAAAUAAUUCACCGUACAUGUGUUUUAUGGAUAUCACUGCUUAUGGACAAUUUUCGAUGUUUAGUUUUUGUAUAUCUGAUUGCUUGCUGGUUUUCAUGCUUGUGAGAAUUAUAUAUUUUGAUUCUUCCAGGCUGCGUACACUGUGGGAGGUCAUUCUUUUAGUGCAGCUGCCAUUGAGUAUGUUGUUCUGAAGAUGAAACCACCACUCCAUAGGCCGCAAAUUGUAUGCAACUGUUUUAAUUAUGUCAAUGGAUUAGUAACUGUUUUGUUCUUGCCUAAUGUGUCAUUCCCUGAUUUGGUGAGCCAAGGGAAUGGGUACAUAUGUGAUGUACAAAAUAUAAGAAUAAAGUUUUUAGUUAGUUAUCUUUUUAUGCCUAUCUAGUUCAAAAAAAAAUUCUGAUUAUUGUUAUAUCUUGAUUGAACCAUGUGACGUUGUUAAUUAACUUAAAUAAAAAGCAUAUUCCAUAAGUAAAUUUAAUCUAACGGAAAGUAAAAUCAAACAGAUAAAAUAGAUAAAGCAUAUAAAUUAAGGAUAAAAACAAAAUGAAAAUCCAAACCAAAUUAAAGACAAACGUUCAUUAGUUCACCAUUUGAAUUUGGAACGUUCAAGUAAAAUAGCCAUGGAAAAGAAGAAAUGAGGUUAAUUCUUAAGAUAAACGCAAGUCAAGGGCUGAAACAAAUUGGAACUCUCAGCCUCUAUCAAAUGUAUUUGGGUUUUCAGUAAGUGCAUGUACACUAUCCAAUCACCAUUGCAGAGGGGACUCGGCAUAGGCAUGACAUAUCCAGCGUUGCCGCCCCAAGGAAAAUGAUAGGACCCGAAAAAAGGCGCUCCCCAUCCGAAGUCCACCUUUGAAACUGGAAAUCUCUGCCCGGAUGACACCACAAAAGCCGGCCCAUCAUCACUACCACUGCCAUAUAUCUUAGCCAAGGCUGGCUCUGGUCUAUGAGCCUCGACCCAAUCAAUCAAUCCUAAGAAAUGCUCCUUCGUUGCUGCACUUUCUAGGAAAUCAUGCACCUCAUUUGCUACCCAACUUAAUGGAUUUGCGAUCAGCUCAUCAAUUUUCUUUUUUCCAUAAGGAAUGGAUAGCACAUUUCCAAAGUACGAAUCCAUAGUAUCACCUAAUCUUGUCCUCCCAUCCACAACAAUGCCCAUUUUUGAAACCUUGGCCAUUCCAUUUUGGGCAGACUUGGCAACCAGUUGCCAAAGCAAGGCACUAAAAGACUCGAGCUUGGUCCUCUGGCAGCCAAUGGAGCUGGCAAGCGAUUGUAAUUUAUUAAGGCUGUCGGCUUUAACAUAGUAAAUGCGACUUAUGAGGUGAUCAUCAUCAGAAUCGGAGUCUUUGGGAGGUUGCAGUUUGGAGAUGGGGACGUACAUAUCGUCUAGGGAGGGGUGGAUACAAGCAGGACGUCUAGGAUUUAGAAGAGAUCGCCUGAAUGAUGGCACCACUGAA
Molecule: long non-coding RNA, 6602 nt
Filed under: Jatropha curcas
Lineage: Eukaryota; Viridiplantae; Streptophyta; Magnoliopsida; Malpighiales; Euphorbiaceae
Description: long non-coding RNA (JCUR_LNC002867)
Source: RNAcentral